AUGUCCGCCGCCGUGCCCGGUCGUCCGUCGCGGUCGGCCUCGAGGAUCGUGGCCAGGCCAGCGGACGGGUUCCACCUCCUGCGCAUCGACGGCUACUCGCACACCAAGACGGUCCUCCCCGGCCAGAAGCUCUCCUCCCAGCCCUUCUACGUCGGCGGCCACAGCUGGCGCGUCGACUACUACCCCAACGGCCGCGACGAGUCCAGCAACUCCGGCGCCAUCUCCGUCUACCUCCAGCUGACCGACCCCACCAGGAGCCCCCAGCAGGCGCGGUACAAGUUCAGCCUGCUGGACCGGGACGGCGUCCCGGCGUACGAGCUCCCGGCCGAGACAGGCUCCUUCACCGGCGUCUUCCCGAACGUCCACGCUCCCUACGGCCCCGCCAUCGGCGACGGCGACGGCGAGGAACCAGCUGGGCCAGGACGCGGCCACGACGAGUUCAUCUUGAAGGAAGAGCUGGAGAGGCGCCGCGGGGAUCUGAUCCGCGACGACUGCAUCAUGAUCCGGUGCGACGUCGGCGUCACGCAGGUCGACUUUUCCUGCCUGGCGCAAGACGAGAUCGUCGGGGACGACGACGGGGCGCACUACGCGGCAUCCCCGGUGUACGGCCCGUAUGGCCCUCCUCGCCGGCAUCCGCGCCAGCGCCAGCGUCGUCGUGCGGACGACGACGAGUACGUCAAGUGGUGCGUCACCCGAGAACCUGGUGGAUCACUGCGCCACCCGGUUGAAGGAGACUAUUACGAAUAA
RNAcentral lists this ribosomal RNA (747 nucleotides) under Triticum aestivum (bread wheat). Its description in RNAcentral is "partial small subunit ribosomal RNA". The record is from RNAcentral. Lineage: Eukaryota; Viridiplantae; Streptophyta; Magnoliopsida; Poales; Poaceae.